GACGAACGCUGGCGGCGUGCCUAAUACAUGCGAGUAGAACGCUGAAACUUGGUGCUUGCACCGAGCGGAUGAGUUGCGAACGGGUGAGUAACGCGUAGGUAACCUGCCUGGUAGCGGGGGAUAACUAUUGGAAACGAUAGCUAAUACCGCAUAAGAGUAGAUGUUGCAUGACAUUUGCUUAAAAGGUGCAAUUGCACCACUACCAGAUGGACCUGCGUUGUAUUAGCUAGUUGGUGGGGUAACGGCUCACCAAGGCGACGAUACAUAGCCGACCUGAGAGGGUGAUCGGCCACACUGGGACUGAGACACGGCCCAGACUCCUACGGGAGGCAGCAGUAGGGAAUCUUCGGCAAUGGACGGAAGUCUGACCGAGCAACGCCGCGUGAGUGAAGAAGGGUUUCGGAUCGUAAAGCUCUGUUGUAAGAGAAGAACGAGUGUGAGAGUGGAAAGUUCACACUGUGACGGUAUCUUACCAGAAAGGGACGGCUAACUACGUG
Molecule: ribosomal RNA, 497 nt
Filed under: uncultured bacterium
Lineage: Bacteria
Description: partial 16S ribosomal RNA
Rfam family: Bacterial small subunit ribosomal RNA
Source: RNAcentral